AUGCAAGUAGAACGCUGAAGGAGGAGCUUGCUUCUCCGGAUGAGUUGCGAACGGGUGAGUAACGCGUAGGUAACCUGCCUGGUAGCGGGGGAUAACUAUUGGAAACGAUAGCUAAUACCGCAUAAGAGUAGAUGUUGCAUGACAUUUGCUUAAAAGGUGCAAUUGCAUCACUACCAGAUGGACCUGCGUUGUAUUAGCUAGUUGGUGGGGUAACGGCUCACCAAGGCGACGAUACAUAGCCGACCUGAGAGGGUGAUCGGCCACACUGGGACUGAGACACGGCCCAGACUCCUACGGGAGGCAGCAGUAGGGAAUCUUCGGCAAUGGACGGAAGUCUGACCGAGCAACGCCGCGUGAGUGAAGAAGGUUUUCGGAUCGUAAAGCUCUGUUGUAAGAGAAGAACGAGUGUGAGAGUGGAAAGUUCACACUGUGACGGUAUCUUACCAGAAAGGGACGGCUAACUACGUGCCAGCAGCCGCGGUAAUACGUAGGUCCCGAGCGUUGUCCGGAUUUAUUGGGCGUAAAGCGAGCGCAGGCGGUUAGAUAAGUCUGAAGUUAAAGGCUGUGGCUUAACCAUAGUACGCUUUGGAAACUGUUUAACUUGAGUGCAAGAGGGGAGAGUGGAAUUCCAUGUGUAGCCGGUGAAAUGCGUAGAUAUAUGGAGGAACACCGGUGGCGAAAGCGGCU
RNAcentral lists this ribosomal RNA (687 nucleotides) under uncultured Bacilli bacterium. RNAcentral's name for it is "bacterial SSU rRNA". It matches the Rfam family "Bacterial small subunit ribosomal RNA", at positions 55 to 726 of the family's 1533-position model. Lineage: Bacteria; Bacillati; Bacillota; Bacilli. The record is from RNAcentral.